GCCUCCAUAGUUCAAUGGAUAGAACGGUGGAUUCCUAAUCCACAGAUCCAGGUUCGAUUCCUGGUGGAGGUA
RNAcentral lists this transfer RNA (72 nucleotides) under Marinilabiliales bacterium. RNAcentral describes it as "tRNA-Arg". It matches the Rfam family "tRNA". Rfam says of the family: Transfer RNA (tRNA) molecules are approximately 80 nucleotides in length. Their secondary structure includes four short double-helical elements and three loops (D, anti-codon, and T loops). The record is from RNAcentral. Lineage: Bacteria; Pseudomonadati; Bacteroidota; Bacteroidia; Marinilabiliales.